Molecule: ribosomal RNA, 36 nt
Filed under: Prospero autumnale (starry hyacinth)
Lineage: Eukaryota; Viridiplantae; Streptophyta; Magnoliopsida; Asparagales; Asparagaceae
Source: RNAcentral
GGGUGCGAUCAUACCACCACUAACGCACCGGAUCCC